Molecule: long non-coding RNA, 803 nt
Organism: Alosa sapidissima (American shad)
Lineage: Eukaryota; Metazoa; Chordata; Actinopteri; Clupeiformes; Clupeidae
Exons: 4
Source: RefSeq, a predicted model, not a curated record
UCGGAUCCAACAUGGCCGGUCGGUGUGCAGGGAGUCCUGCGGGAGGCGCAUCGCUACCUGGAGUGGGAUCGAUUGCAUAGCGCCCUACAGGGCUUUUCUACACUGACUUACUGAAGUGUUCAGUUGUGAGGGAACACCGCGCCGACUUCCUGGUACGGGACAAUGGGCAUUUUCUAUUCCAGUUAGACUGGCGCUGCAGUCUCGGCGAUGUGAACUGGCGGGGACGCUUCGCGUUACGACAAGGUCAUGAGUUCCUCUAGGAGACCUCCAGUGGAGAAUAACCUCACCUGUCCGUCACUUCGCCAGGACUCCGCCCCCUCUCAUACUCCCAGCAUACCACCAUGACUUCAGACACAGGGCAGGAUGCUGCGGCCAAACUGGAACAGGAGCGGGCAGAGAUUGUGGCCAAAUAUGACAAGGGAAAGGAGGGUGCGACGGUGGAAGCCGUGGGAAGAUGCCAACUUCCACUUGUACAAAGUCAUCGACCGCUUUGGCUUCCUGCAGUAUGUCCUUUCAAUUUCAUUAAGUUUAAUUAUUUUCUAUUCUGUUCUAUCUUCUCUUCUAUUCAGCUCAAUUCAUUUUCACUUCAUUUAUAUAGUCCCAUGGCACUUUUUAGGGUCUAGUGCCUGAACCCCCCUAGAGCAGUAAGUACGUAGGUCACGAUGUCCAGGAAAAGCCCUCGUUAAACAGGGGGAACCCUUCAACAGAACCCGGGUCCUAAGGGGAACCCAACUACCUGGGGGCGGUGGUAGCAGAGUGGUUAAGGAGCUGGGCUAGCAUGCAGUAGAAGCGUAGUGGUUAAG